GAUGAACGCUAGCUACAGGCUUAACACAUGCAAGUCGAGGGGAAACGGCAUUGAGUGCUUGCACUCUUUGGACGUCGACCGGCGCACGGGUGAGUAACGCGUAUCCAACCUUCCCAUUACUGUGGUAUAACCUGCCGAAAUGCAGACUAAUACCGCAUAGUCUUCGAUUACGGCAUCAGAUUUGAAGUAAAGAUUUAUCGGUAAUGGAUGGGGAUGCGUCUGAUUAGCUUGUUGGCGGGGUAACGGCCCACCAAGGCGACGAUCAGUAGGGGUUCUGAGAGGAAGGUCCCCAACAUUGGAACUGAGACACGGUCCAAACGCCUACGGGAGGCAGCAGUGAGGAAUAUUGGUCAAUGGACGGAAGUCUGAACCAGCCAAGUAGCGUGCAGGAUGACGGCCCUAUGGGUUGUAAACUGCUUUUGUAUGGGGAUAAAGUUAGGGACGUGUCCCUAUUUGCAGGUACCAUACGAAUAAGGACCGGCUAAUUCCGUG
This 492-nucleotide ribosomal RNA is filed under the name uncultured bacterium. Its description in RNAcentral is "partial 16S ribosomal RNA". It matches the Rfam family "Bacterial small subunit ribosomal RNA", at positions 28 to 507 of the family's 1533-position model. The record is from RNAcentral.